UACGUAGGUGACCAGCGUUGUCCGGAUUUACUGGGCGUAAAGAGCGCGCAGGCGGUCGUUCAAGUCGAGUGUGAAAGCCCCCGGCUCAACUGGGGAGGGUCAUUCGAUACUGAUCGACUUGAAGGCAGGAGAGGGAAGUGGAAUUCCCGGUGUAGUGGUGAAAUGCGUAGAGAUCGGCAGGAACACCCAGGGGGAAACCAGCCGACUGGGCAUCUACUGACGCUGAGGUGCGAGAGCGUGGGGAGCGAACCGG
RNAcentral lists this ribosomal RNA (253 nucleotides) under uncultured bacterium. Its description in RNAcentral is "partial 16S ribosomal RNA". It matches the Rfam family "Bacterial small subunit ribosomal RNA", at positions 524 to 776 of the family's 1533-position model. The record is from RNAcentral.